This 253-nucleotide ribosomal RNA is filed under the name uncultured bacterium. RNAcentral's name for it is "partial 16S ribosomal RNA". It matches the Rfam family "Bacterial small subunit ribosomal RNA", at positions 524 to 776 of the family's 1533-position model. The record is from RNAcentral.
UACGAAGGGGGCUAGCGUUGCUCGGAAUCAUUGGGCGUAAAGCGCACGUAGGCGGAUUGCUAAGUCAGGGGUGAAAUCCUGGAGCUCAACUCCAGAACUGCCUUUGAUACUGGCGAUCUCGAGUCCGGGAGAGGUGAGUGGAACUGCGAGUGUAGAGGUGAAAUUCGUAGAUAUUCGCAAGAACACCAGUGGCGAAGGCGGCUCACUGGCCCGGUACUGACGCUCAUGCACGAAAGCGUGGGGAGCAAACAGG